CACUGGUCGAGAGUUGGCGCUGCUCUCCCAUGAGUCCAAGGCAGGACGAAACCAGUG
This 57-nucleotide small RNA is filed under the name Helianthus annuus (common sunflower). Lineage: Eukaryota; Viridiplantae; Streptophyta; Magnoliopsida; Asterales; Asteraceae. The record is from RNAcentral.